This 253-nucleotide ribosomal RNA is filed under the name uncultured bacterium. Its description in RNAcentral is "partial 16S ribosomal RNA". It matches the Rfam family "Bacterial small subunit ribosomal RNA", at positions 524 to 776 of the family's 1533-position model. The record is from RNAcentral.
UACGUAGGCAGCAAGCGUUGUUCGGAGUUACUGGGCGUAAAGGGUGUGUAGGCGGUUGGAUAAGUGUGGUGUGAAAUCUCCCGGCUUAACUGGGAGGGUGCGCUACAAACUGUCUGACUAGAGUGUGGGAUGGGAAAGUGGAAUUCCUGGUGUAGCGGUGAAAUGCGUAGAUAUCAGGAGGAACACCGGUGGUGUAGACGGCUUUCUGGACCAUAACUGACGCUGAAACACGAAAGCGUGGGUAGCAAACAGG